This 61-nucleotide transfer RNA is filed under the name Grandidierella osakaensis. RNAcentral's name for it is "tRNA-Thr". The record is from RNAcentral. Lineage: Eukaryota; Metazoa; Arthropoda; Malacostraca; Amphipoda; Corophiidae.
GCUAGAAUAGUUUAAAAAAAAUAACAAUUUUGUAAAUUGUAGUUGAGUUUAUCUUUUAGCU